AUUUCCCAGCACCACUUUUGGCUAAGAUCAAGUGUAGUAUCUGUUCUUAUCAGAUUAACUGAUUUUCAUGUUGGACCAGCUUCACAGAAAAUUCAGUCAUGGUGUAUUUUUUUAUACAUUGUUGGAUUCAUUUUGCUAACAUAUUCUUAAGGAUUUUUACAUCUAUAUUCAUGAGAGAUAUUGGUC
Small nuclear RNA from Bos grunniens (domestic yak), 186 nucleotides. Its record names the gene U2. It matches the Rfam family "U2 spliceosomal RNA". Rfam says of the family: U2 is a small nuclear RNA (snRNA) component of the spliceosome (involved in pre-mRNA splicing). The record is from Ensembl. Lineage: Eukaryota; Metazoa; Chordata; Mammalia; Artiodactyla; Bovidae.